This 24-nucleotide non-coding RNA is filed under the name Arabidopsis thaliana (thale cress). Lineage: Eukaryota; Viridiplantae; Streptophyta; Magnoliopsida; Brassicales; Brassicaceae. The record is from RNAcentral.
UAGAAUGUCCCACAUCGCUUGAGA